This 27-nucleotide non-coding RNA is filed under the name Mus musculus (house mouse). The record is from RNAcentral. Lineage: Eukaryota; Metazoa; Chordata; Mammalia; Rodentia; Muridae.
AUUGAUAAAGAGGAUAAAGACUAGGAC